Molecule: ribosomal RNA, 253 nt
Filed under: uncultured bacterium
Lineage: Bacteria
Description: partial 16S ribosomal RNA
Rfam family: Bacterial small subunit ribosomal RNA
Source: RNAcentral
UACAGAGGGUGCAAGCGUUGUUCGGAAUUAUUGGGCGUAAAGCGCGUGUAGGCGGCUUUGCAAGUCGGGUGUGAAAGCCCUCAGCUCAACUGAGGAAGUGCGCCCGAAACUGCAGAGCUUGAGUGCCGGAGAGGGUGGCGGAAUUCCCCAAGUAGAGGUGAAAUUCGUAGAUAUGGGGAGGAACACCGGUGGCGAAGGCGGCGACCUGGGUCGAGACUGACGCUGAGGCGCGAAAGCGUGGGGAGCAAACAGG